GCAGAUUUAGGUUAAAUUUUAAACUUUUAGUCUUCAAAACUGACGAUUUAAUCUGUA
This 57-nucleotide transfer RNA is filed under the name Heterakis dispar. Its description in RNAcentral is "tRNA-Trp". The record is from RNAcentral. Lineage: Eukaryota; Metazoa; Nematoda; Chromadorea; Rhabditida; Heterakidae.